AUUUUAAACGGCCGCGGUAAUUUGACCGUGCUAAGGUAGCAUAAUCACUUGUCUNUUAAUUGGGGGCUAGAAUGAAAGGUUAAACUAAUUUUACUAGUUUGUUAAAUUAUGUAUUAGGUUUAAGUUAAGGUAAGAAUUCUUUAAUUUUAUAGGGGACGAUAAGACCCUGUAAGCUUAAUAAGCAUAAUAAAAUUAGAUUUUAAGUACAUUUAUUUUACUGGGGCGGUAAUAGUACAGAGACUACUUGAUUUUUGAGGGAUCCUUAAGAUAAAGAUAAACUAGGUAAGUUACUACAGGGAUAACAGUGUGAUAUUUUUGGAGAGAUCUUAUUGAUAAGAAUGAUUACAACCUCKAUGUUGAAUUAAGAGUAUCUUUAUGCAGCANWWGGUWAUAAAGA
This 397-nucleotide ribosomal RNA is filed under the name Micruropus wahlii. Its description in RNAcentral is "partial 16S ribosomal RNA". It matches the Rfam family "Bacterial large subunit ribosomal RNA", at positions 1920 to 2570 of the family's 2925-position model. The record is from RNAcentral. Lineage: Eukaryota; Metazoa; Arthropoda; Malacostraca; Amphipoda; Micruropodidae.